GUGGGGAAUAUUGGACAAUGGGCGAAAGCCUGAUCCAGCCAUGCCGCGUGUGUGAAGAAGGUCUUCGGAUUGUAAAGCACUUUAAGUUGGGAGGAAGGGUAGUAACCUAAUACGUUGCUACUUUGACGUUACCGACAGAAUAAGCACCGGCUAACUUCGUGCCAGCAGCCGCGGUAAUACGAAGGGUGCAAGCGUUAAUCGGAAUUACUGGGCGUAAAGCGCGCGUAGGUGGUUCAGUAAGUUGGAAGUGAAAUCCCCGGGCUCAACCUGGGAACUGCCUCCAAAACUGCAUGACUAGAGUACGAUAGAGGGUAGUGGAAUUUCCUGUGUAGCGGUGAAAUGCGUAGAUAUAGGAAGGAACACCAGUGGCGAAGGCGACUACCUGGACUGAUACUGACACUGAGGUGCGAAAGCGUGGGGAGCAAACAGGAUUAGAUACCCCAGUAGUCC
RNAcentral lists this ribosomal RNA (450 nucleotides) under uncultured bacterium. RNAcentral's name for it is "partial 16S ribosomal RNA". It matches the Rfam family "Bacterial small subunit ribosomal RNA", at positions 354 to 796 of the family's 1533-position model. The record is from RNAcentral.